RNAcentral lists this small RNA (199 nucleotides) under Erwinia tasmaniensis. Its description in RNAcentral is "GlmZ RNA activator of glmS mRNA". It matches the Rfam family "GlmZ RNA activator of glmS mRNA". Rfam says of the family: This RNA was discovered in E. coli during a large scale screen. The record is from Rfam by way of RNAcentral. Lineage: Bacteria; Pseudomonadati; Pseudomonadota; Gammaproteobacteria; Enterobacterales; Erwiniaceae.
GUAGAUGCUCAUUCCACCUCUUAUGUUUGCGCAAGCUUCAUAAACCUGGGAAUGAUGCAGAGCCAUUUACGGUACCUGUUGCCCAACCCGCCAAUAUCGUUCAGGCCUUAUUGGAUCUCGGGCACACCGUUGAGUCGGGUACCAAUCGGUUGUCUUACCGACCUGAUAUUUAUACCUGCCGACCGGCAGGUUUUUUUUU